Molecule: long non-coding RNA, 4871 nt
Organism: Manis pentadactyla (Chinese pangolin)
Lineage: Eukaryota; Metazoa; Chordata; Mammalia; Pholidota; Manidae
Exons: 4
Source: RefSeq, a predicted model, not a curated record
AGAACAGGAGUGGGCAAGCAUCUUAGGGAGCAAAUUAAAAGUGAAAUCUACUCCCCACACCCCUGGCAAUGCCACCUAACAAGCUUCUCCAGUGGACAGUGAAACACCCUAAAAGUUGAGCAGUGUGAUUCUGCCAAAGGGAACCUACUUCCUUAGCAGCAGGUCUCACCUCCUGGUGAGACCACAGAAUAUUUACAUGGCACAGCUCACCAGAAUACGCUAAGCAUGAGGGCUCGGUUCUGAAAACGUCAGGAGGGCCAACUCCAAGUCCUGGACUCCAAGAAGUGGCAGGAGGCCAAAGCCCUCCAAGUGAUGUAAUGAAUCCCCUCAGUUUGUCUGACUUAGGGAUUAGCCAUCAGACAGACACCAAUCCCAGCAAUGGACAGCAAGGCCUAAAAAUCAAAGGCCCUGCAAAUACGCUGCAUACAAAUGCUAGGGGAGAGACAGGGCCUCCUCAUGGUGGCUCUCAGAGCCCAGGGCCUCUGCAGGGUGCCCCUGAAAGGAAACCAGGCCGGCUGGUCCUGCCUUAUUUCCUCAGAAGGGAAGCAGCAUGGUGGGAUGUGCCACAUGAGACUCUAAGAGUCGGUGGGACCAAGUCUGGUCCUGCCUCUGCCUCUGCCCCUGUGGUGGCUCUCGGCAAGCCCCUGGCCCACUUUAAGUCUAAGGGAGCCUCUUGACAAACACGGGCAUGAUUGUGGACCCCUCAAUCUAUCUCUAACCCACUCUUUUUAGGAGUCAGGUCCAUUACCCAGCGUUUCAUGCUCCUGACUUCAGAGCAGGCCUGGGACCAGGAUGAGGCUGAGGAGGCACCCACUCACCUUGGGGACAAGAGUUUAGGAGGGGAAGGUGCCAAAACACUCAGUGACCAAGAUAAACAACAUUUUCAUGAGGUGCUUAAAAAAAUUCGUUAAAAAAAAAUUCUGGAUGAACAAAAUCAUUUUAACAAUCUACAUUCUGAGCGAAGGAGGAAUCCGGCUCUGCGCGCGUCCUGCCCCCCUUUCCGGCCUCUCCCCGUUCCUGCCCUCCUGCCAGGAACCCCCGCAGCAGCUCCACAGGGGGGUCGUCCCCACUCCAGUGUUUUCGAAGGAGGAACUGAGGCUCCGGGAGCGCCCAGGACCUGCGUCAGGUCACCCGAUCCGCUGGUUUCGGCUGGUCGGGGGCUCCCACGGGGCUGGACAGGGCCUCGGCCCAGGGCGGCCCCCCGGGCGGGGUAGGGGCCCCGCGGGUACCUCUGGCUUUUGAACUCCUUCAUGAUCUCCAGGAAGCCGUUGUAGGUGGCGGGGUCGCUCCCGAAGCGGAUCUUCACCUGGUCCAGGCACCCUGCCCGUCUCAGAGAGAGGUUCCACACUUGGGGUGGCAGAACACUUCCACAUGCCAUGCAGUCCAGCCCAAGCUCCAGAGGAUAGAAGCUCCUUUAUUUGGUACCUCGCCCUGUGUCUCUCUUCAUCUGGCUGUUAACUUGUAUCCUUUACAGUAUCCUUUAUUAAACUGGUAAACAUAAGUGUGUUUUCCUGAGUUUUGUGAGCUGCUCUAGCAAAUUAAUGGAACCUAAGGAGGGGGUCACUGGAAUUUCCGAUCUGUAGCUGGUCCGUCAGAAGCACAAGUAACAGCCUGAGGCUCAAGACUGGCAUCUGGAGUCCGGGGUGGAAGGCAGUCUUGUAGGAUGGAGCCCUUAACCUGAGGGAUAUCUGGUGCUGUCUCCGGGCAAGUAGUGUCAGGAUUGAGCUGAAUUCUCGGGCACCGCUGGUAUUCGAGAAUUGCUUGGCAUUGUGCACAAGAAAACACCCUCCUAAGGAUGCACACGUUGGAAUUGGGUGCAGGGACCCAGAAGGACCAGGUUCUGGAACAGCGCAGGGAACAGGAAAUAAUGCCAAGACCACUUUCAGAAAAUACAAGUUACCACUCUGGGGAUUUAGCCCAGUCCAUCAUGGGAUUAGGAAGACUUUCCGUGGGAGGUGGCAUUCUAGCUGAGUCCUGAAGGACGUGUAGGUGUCCACUUUGAAAGUCGGAACAGCUGUGUAAAGUCCCUGCAAUGUGAAAGAGGUUGGUACAUUUAAACUUUAAAAAAUAAAAAUAAGAAGACCAGUGUUCUCUCACUGUGGAGGAGGGGGGCUGGGGUGGGGUGGGAGAGAGGGUGCAGGAUAUGUAUGCAGAGGCUGGAGGGGGCAGACCGUUCAUCCUUACGGGAUAGGUUUAAAAUGUUGGUCUCAGCAUUUUGUGUUGGUCGAGACCCUGCACGGUUUAUGCAAGGAGCUACUGGAACUGUUUUGAAUUUGGAAGCAAAUGCUCUGGCUGCUCUGCAGAGAUGUGGCUGGAGAAGAGCCAGGGAUGGUGCAGGGAGGUUGUUUCAUUGUUUAGGCAAAGGGCAGUGAUGGUGGCUCAGACCAGGAUGGGAGCAGUGGUGGUGGAGAGGAGGGGAUGGAAAGGGGUGCCAUUUGGAAGGUAAAACACAGAGGAUGUAGUGCUGGAUACACGUAGGGAUGAACGAGGAGGAAGCAUGAAUGGCUGCCAGCCCAGAAAAGGACCCUGCUUAGUUUCAGCGCUUUCCUGUGUGAAUAGCAGCCGAGAUGGCCUGAACCCCUUGAGGCCACCAGGUGUCUGGACAGUCAUUUUCACACCAACACCUCCUGGCAACAUACUAGACACUGUCCUUGAGGACCAGCUGAGUGUGUGGCCAUUUGACAUGGCACAGGAUCCUCCCACAAUGUCUCCUCCGAGGAGUGCGAUUCUUCUGUUCAAAUUUUAAGUGUCAUUUUCAGUUUUCCUUUUUUUUUUGUUACAGAUCUCCUGUGGUCAGAGAUUGCACUCACUCCCUGGGGAACAGGAAACCAGUCGCCUAUUCCACCUUGGGUGUGCACGCACACGUGUGUGCCUGUUCCCCAGCGCGUGCGUGCGUGCGUGUGGCCAACAUAUAUAUGGACAGUACUAAUAUACAUCUUUUCAUUCUUAUUUUUAUAAAGCAUUAAAAAUGGCUAAGCUAAGUUUUCUUCUUUACUCUUCUCAUCUACACAGAUUAAAUUGAAAACCUUAGCAUGGACAAUUUAGAUAGACCAGCCUGCAGGCACAAAUUUCCUGACCACUUCACAAGUUUGAUUGCAUUAAGCCAAAUGCAGAGUUGCUUCCUCAUGGCUCCAAGCAAGAGCUCAACACUACCUGCAGCAAGAAGAGACCCGUCCUCAGAGAGUGCCAGGAACCGCACAGCUUCUGGAAGCUUCUCCAGCAGGCUGUCUCCUUCGGAGGAAACCUGUGCAGAAUCAAGGAUGCCCAUCAAGCAUUUCCACAUGGCUCAGGGGUCAGGAUCAAGAGCAGGACCUCUAGAGAUCUCAGAUAAGAUCGAAACACAGGUUGGAGCCCGAGGAAGGCAGCUUUUCCUGAGUUGCAGAAAUAAACUGACUUUAUUCAGACCUAAGAGGAUGGUUCAUCCCUGAUUCCCGACCCCAAUUCAGUUUCUGAUUUUUGAGCACCUGACUACCACCAGGCUGUGUGCCGACAGCUUUAUGUUCAUUACCUUGGUUGGGGGGGAGAGAUGGGACACAGGGAUAGCCCAGAAAACUGACUCAUCUGCACCGAUUCAAACAUAUUUUUAAAAAAGACUUUGUCCACCUUUAUUUAGCAGGGGCAGAAGAAAGUGAAUUUCUUUGUGGCUGUUACUGAUAAUUUUUUAAAUAUGAUUCUUUUAAAACUUAAAAAAUAGUAUACUGUAGAAGAUUUUUAAAAAAUAGAAAUAUCCAGAGCACACCUUGAACACACCCUGAACUCCUCUUUGCCCUCCCUGCCAUCCCUCCUCCUCUGCAGAAGGGACCAUUGCCUGCAUUUGCUUGACGUGUUUGCAUGGAUGGGCAUUUACGUGAGCAUCCUUUUUAACAUAAUCCAUCAUAGACACUGUUCUGAGAGUUGCUUUUUUCAUGUAAUGUGUCUGGAACAGUGGUUCUCAACCUGAGGAGCAAUUCUGCACACACACCCUCACCCCAGGACAUUAGGCAACGUCUACAGACAUUUUUGGUUGUUAAGAUUGACAGAUGCUUUGCAUCUAGUGGGUGGAGGCCAGGGAUGCUGCUGAAGACGCUGCAAGGCAGGAACAGACCCCACAGCAAAGUAGGACCCAGCCCCAGCCUCCUAUGGGGCCCACGCAUAGCAUAGUGGUUAAGAACAUGGACCCUAAAACCAGCCUACCUAAGUCCAGAUCCCAUUGGUGACACUCCUGAGCUGUGUGACUUUAGACAAAUGACUUUACUUCUCUGUGCUACAGUUCUGGGACGUAGACGGAAUGGCAGCAGCUACUUUAGCUUUGCUUUGAUGGUUAAAUUUAAAUAAACGGAUAUGAAGUUCUUGGAAUAAUGCUAGUUGCUCAGUGAGCACUACAUGAAAACGUAUUGCUAUUUCCAUGAAAGUACCUCUGGCCCACGCAAACUUUCCCUGUAAUGGACCAGAUAGCAAAUAUUUCAGGCUUUGUGGGCCACACUGUCUUAAAUUUGCUGUUACAGCACAAAUGCAGCCAGAGACAGCAUGUAAACAUUUGGGGGUGGUUGUGUGCCAAUAAAACUUCAUUUAUGGACACUGAAUUUGGAUUCCAUAGAAUUUUCACAUGUCACAUGAUACUAUUCUCUGGCUAAUUUUUUUAACCACUUAAAUUCAUAAACUCAUUCUCAGAUCACGGGCCAUACACAGGCAGGCAGCCACAGCUUGCUGACUGCUGCUCAAGCCCAUUGGAGUUUUUUAUGGCCACAUAAUCUUUCAGAGUAUAUAGGUCCUUAAUUCAUUUAACACUUUCUUCUGGACAGAUAUUUGAUAUCAUGCUGAUGUUUUCUUAAGAAUGCCGUGGUAAAUACUAUUAUCUAGGCUGAUCUUUUUUUUAAAAAAAUAAACUUUAA